This 246-nucleotide non-coding RNA is filed under the name Pelodiscus sinensis (Chinese soft-shelled turtle). RNAcentral describes it as "Eukaryotic large subunit ribosomal RNA". It matches the Rfam family "Eukaryotic large subunit ribosomal RNA", at positions 105 to 358 of the family's 3401-position model. Lineage: Eukaryota; Metazoa; Chordata; Testudines; Trionychidae. The record is from Rfam by way of RNAcentral.
AAGCCCGGAAUAACUGCCCAUCUCUACACAUGGCAGGAAAACCGGUGUUCGAAAUAAAGCCCAGGUUUGAACUACCUGUUAAACCUCAUUGCAGGAGGAAUAACAGGUUUAAAUCCCGUCCCCCAGCACACCAGGACCAGGUCUUUUCAGAGUCGGGUUGCUUGGGAGUGCAGCCCAAAGUGGGUGGUCAACUCCAUCGAAGGCUAAAUACCAGCAUGAGACCGAUAGUCAACACGUACCGUAAAG